AAAAGACUCUGUGAUGUUGAAAUGCACUUGAAAAAAGUAGAUUUAUAAACUGAGAUGUUUGGACCAUUGGAAAUCAUUGUUCCUGAACAACUAAAUCACGUGCCUGGUGAAAUCACGACGAUGACCUGGAGUGCUUCUCUCUGGUGAAGAACAUCUGUGAUGAUUUGAAAGGAAAAAGCUCAUCCAGGACAAAGCACUUUCUUAGGAAGCAAAACAUUUUAGGACUGAAAUUUGGAGCCAUCUGGAUUACUUAAUUAAGGUAAUGAUUCUAGUAACUUUUAAAAAAUAAACUGAAACUAAUUUUCCUAUUUC
Molecule: long non-coding RNA, 312 nt
Filed under: Chinchilla lanigera (long-tailed chinchilla)
Lineage: Eukaryota; Metazoa; Chordata; Mammalia; Rodentia; Chinchillidae
Description: lncRNA (ENSCLAG00000027634.1)
Source: RNAcentral